UUGCCUUAGUACCGGCGAAGUGAAGCGGCAACAGCUCAAAUUUGGAAUCUGGCUCUCGGGCCCGAGUUGUAAUUUGUAGAGGAUGCUUUCGAUGCGGUGCCUUCCGAGUUCCCUGGAACGGGACGCCAUAGAGGGUGAGAGCCACGUCUGGUUGGACGCAAAAUCUCCGUAAAGCUCCUUCGACGAGUCGAGUAGUUUGGGAAUGCUGCUCUAAAUGGGAGGUAUAUGUCUUCUAAAGCUAAAUACCGGCCAGAGACCGAUAGCGCACAAGUAGAGUGAUCGAAAGAUGAAAAGCACUUUGAAAAGAGAGUUAAAAAGUACGUGAAAUUGUUGAAAGGGAAGCGUUUAUGACCAGACUUGGGCUUGGAUAAUCAUCUGGGGUUCUCCCCAGUGCACUUUUCCAGUCCAGGCCAGCAUCAGUUUUCGCCGGGGGGAAAAGGGUUUCGGGAAUGUGGCUCUCUCCGGGGGGUGUUAUAGCCCGUUGCGUAAUACCCUGGCGGGGACUGAGGUUCGCGCAUCUGCAAGGAUGCUGGCGUAAUGGUCAUCAACGACCCGCCGAAAGAG
This 564-nucleotide ribosomal RNA is filed under the name Fusarium sp. AL-15 IRH-2012b. RNAcentral describes it as "eukaryotic LSU rRNA". It matches the Rfam family "Eukaryotic large subunit ribosomal RNA", at positions 75 to 660 of the family's 3401-position model. Lineage: Eukaryota; Fungi; Ascomycota; Sordariomycetes; Hypocreales; Nectriaceae. The record is from RNAcentral.